GCGGUGGAUGAUGUGGAUUAAUUCGAUGCAACGCGAAAACCUUACCUACCCUUGACAUGUCCAGAAGCCUGAAGAGAUUUGGGUGUGCCCGAAAGGGAACUGGAACACAGGUGCUGCAUGGCUGUCGUCAGCUCGUGUCGUGAGAUGUUGGGGUUAAGUCCCGCAACGAGCGCAACCCUUGUCGUUAAUUGCCAUCAUUCAGUUGGGCACUUUAACGAGACUGCCGGUGACAAAACCGGAGGAAGGUGGGGAUGACGUCAAGUCCUCAUGGCCCUUAUGGGUAGGGCUUCACACGUCAUACAAUGGUCGGUACAGAGGGUUGCCAAGCCGCGAGGUGGAGCCAAUCCCAGAAAGCCGAUCGUAGUCCGGAUCGCAGGCUGCAACUCGCCUGCGUGAAGUCGGAAUCGCUAGUAAUCGCGGAUCAGCAUGUCGCGGUGAAUACGUUCCCGGGUCUUGUACACAC
This 463-nucleotide ribosomal RNA is filed under the name uncultured bacterium. RNAcentral's name for it is "bacterial SSU rRNA". It matches the Rfam family "Bacterial small subunit ribosomal RNA", at positions 929 to 1390 of the family's 1533-position model. The record is from RNAcentral.